AUGGCCGUACCAUGCUGAAUAUACCGGUUCUCGUUAGAUCACCGAAGUCAAGCAUCAUUGGGCGCGGUCAGUACUUGGGUGGGUGACCACCUGGGAACACCGCGUGCCGUUA
Molecule: ribosomal RNA, 112 nt
Filed under: Caerostris darwini
Lineage: Eukaryota; Metazoa; Arthropoda; Arachnida; Araneae; Araneidae
Source: RNAcentral